GGAACUGUACUUUAUAUAGAAGAUUUGGUUUGCAACUAAAAAGAGGAAAAUUUCCCGGUACCA
This 63-nucleotide transfer RNA is filed under the name Dolabella auricularia (sea hare). RNAcentral's name for it is "tRNA-Ala". The record is from RNAcentral. Lineage: Eukaryota; Metazoa; Mollusca; Gastropoda; Aplysiida; Aplysiidae.